RNAcentral lists this long non-coding RNA (2999 nucleotides) under Triticum aestivum (bread wheat). RNAcentral's name for it is "long non-coding RNA (TAES_LNC014671)". Lineage: Eukaryota; Viridiplantae; Streptophyta; Magnoliopsida; Poales; Poaceae. The record is from RNAcentral.
UCAAGUAAUGCAAUAUAUUCUCUCUCUGCCAGAACCAAACUGUACCAGCACCAACGAACGCCUUUGUGCUAGGAAUAAAUAGGAUGAAUAAAUCUCUACCAGCACCAACAUUGACAGCUUGUUUGUUCACACGUAGCAAUGUUUUGCAUUAAACUGAACCAUGCCAAUACAUAAAACUUCAACAUGAGACUUUGUAAAAAGUUAAUCUUUGCAAUACGACAAAGGUUCACAACAUCAAAUGAUCACAGUCUAGCCAAGGUUACAUAAAAACUGAAUCUUUGCAUUAUUAGCACCACCCAACAAAGAUUUUCAUUGCUCAAGGAUCUUCCUCUGUCCGUUCAGCAUCACACUUCACCCAAUAUUUCCUGCAAAAUAUGAUGAGAAAUGGUGACAUAUGGUCUCAUAGGGCACAAUGGUUGUACAAAUUGCUCAAAGUGAAUACAUAACUGAAUCUUUGCAUUAUUAGCACCACCCAACAAAGAUUUUCAUUGCUCAAGGAUCUUCCUCUGUCCGUUCAGCAUCACACUUCACCCAAUAUUUCCUGCAAAAUAUGAUGAGAAAUGGUGACAUAUGGUCUCAUAGGGCACAAUGGUUGUACAAAUUGCUCAAAGUGAAAGAUGUGACAGCCAAUAAGACAAAUCAAAGUGUGACACGAUAAGCUUUAGCUUGCAACAAUCUUUACAAAGGGUAAAAAAAAUACCUCAACUUGAUAUAGAAGUUGCUCAAAGGUUAACUUGCACUUCAUUUGCACAAUUAUCAUGAAUCGAAAGGUAGUGGCGACAAACCAGCAACAACCGAGUAGGUUAAGUAGGACCAAAACUAAGUCGAUAAGAGACUACAUAUUAAAACAGAGGAUAUAUAUAGGAAAAUGGGUUGGUACACCUAGGAGUACAUACUCCUAUGUCAUGUGUCAUUUCUUUUUUUAUUUUCCACUGUUGUUUAUUGUGCCAUCGCAACAAACCUCCUUAGCAUUUAGUUAGUUGAUUAGGUGCUAAUCAGAAGUGGUCCCGUGGAGUUUGAAAGUUUGUUCCAUACUAAUAGGGAUAAGGCACAUUCAGAUUCAAAUCUUGUUAGCACCGCAUUAACAUGCAUCGUUCUUCUUUCAUUAAAAUCAAUCCACCUACUGAUUAGGGCUUGGAGACAAGACGCAGCCGGCAGCCGCUUGUUGACUCGACGACGAGGCACAUUAGAUGUGGUUGGCGCAACUCAAACUUGAAGAUGAGAAGAUGAGAUGCUGCCGACAAUCUAACUCGUCAAGGUGCAUCAUUUAUUCAAUAUUAUUUCUGGUCUACGAACUUCAGAUUGAGCUGCAAAAGCAUGCAUCAACCACUCUUUCCGUGACUAAUUCAUUGCUUGCUCAGGUAGGCAUCUAGUUGGCUGUACCCCUUAUCUAAGCUCUAUGCAUGCAGGUAGAAUUUCCCAAGGUGUCAUCUGGAGGCCAUGGAUAGCAUGGCGUGGAGUGCCUGCGAUUUCGAUGCGUUGGACUCCUAACAUCAUGCUGCCCACCGUGCGUGUGCUUGCCGGCGACAAACAGAACAACAACAAGAAGAUGCUUUUGCAGUGAAGAACAAAUGAAUGUAGACUAGAUAUCCACUCCAGAAUGCAUAUGUAAUACGUGCAUGCUUAUCAUACAUUUCUCUAUGGAUGUAUCAAAUUUAGUGAAUAUACUUCAAUUUCAGCAGAGUAUAUACUUCAUUCAAGUGGAUAUACUUCAAAUCAAUUUCAGCAGAGAGUAUGCAUCAUUCGUAUGAACAACUGAAUAUACUGCUAUAUCAGCUGGGUAUAUCCUUUUUUUGGUCGAGAAGUAUAUACUCCAAUAAAAAAAAGUAUAUACUCUCCAAUUAAAAAAUUAAGUACAAACUCCUAAACCCUUGGCCACAGUACUCCAAUUAAAAUUUAAAUAUUUAGUAUAUACUCUUCUCGCUAGUACUAGAUACUCAUUGAUCGCAAUGCUAAUUGCACAAGAAAGCAACUAAAAAAUUGCACAAGAAAACCGUAUACUUUUGUUAUAAGCAGUAUAUACCGGUCUAAAAAUAUAUACAUCACAAAAUAGUAUAUAAUCCUACUUUUUUUGAAGUAUAUACUCCUAUGAAGAAACGACUGUAUAUACUUCUUUUUGUGGUAGGUUGUUCUUUGAUCGGAGAGUAGUAUAUAUGUCGCAUAUACUGCAAAAUAGUGCUUCCAGCACACAUUGAUAGGGAACAAGAAUUAGUUAUUCCUCAUGUAUGAAUGAUGCUCAAAGCAUUCAUUGUUAAUCUAGGACUCCCGACUGAUGUUCUUGAAUUACAACUCUACACAUGGCCUACAAGCAGUCACCCAGUCACUUAGCUAAUCCAAACAGAGCAAAAUUAUCCGAAGAACCUGUCUAGAUCUUAUGGAGCAAUAUAUUGCAGCAAUCAAAGGAAAUAACAACCUAGUCCAUAUGACAAUGUUGUGACAAUAUAUCCAAGCAAAUAUAUUGCAGCAACCAACUGAAGAACCACUCUGAUUGAAAGAGGCGAAGCAUACCCUGCUUGCUCCCAGACCAAGAGCCCCGGUGCCUCUUGCUCCUUAGUCCUCCGGGGGUGGAGUUGACCUACCGUGGGCUGCCCAGAUCGGGUGGCUGGAGUGAGGCGUCCUGCUGAACAGGUGGGUUCAGGUUAGGGUUAGGGUUCAAGAAGAAAAACGCAUCAGAGAGAGGGAGGGGGGAGAAGAGAGGUGGGGAAGGGAGCGAGAGGAGAAGCCUUACCGGUGGCGAGAGGGACAGGUAACCAAGACGUCGGAGUGUCCUUGCGACCUUGCCGGAGAGGGACAGUACGGGGCGGAGAUGGACCGGGACCGGGACGGGACGGGGCGGGGUGGAGGAUAGGGUGGGUGGCGGCGGGGUGGAGGAGAGGGAUCGAGAGAGACAGAGAGCUGCGUCGGGCCUCCAAAUCCAGACAAAUGAGGGCAUCUCCGGCCGUUGGCCCUCCAGGAAGGGCAAAAAAUCGCCCCUGGAGGCGCACCGGCGCUAAGCCCCG